ACGCGAAGGUUCCUAUCGGUCGACGGGCUGUGGGUGUAUUGCUCAGUGACGGCUUCGUUUAGUUUCUCCCAGCACCCAUAAUUCAAAGCAAGAACAACGACAUUAUGGGGAGAAAACGUCCUUUUGUGAAACAGAAGGCAAUCCACACCAUUAGUAAACCCCAUCAAUUUUGCCUUCAGAAUAUAUCCAGAUUCUUCCCAAUUCUACCGCCACCAUUCUGGUUCAAGCUACCUGGUAAAACAUGCACAGAGCAAAUUUCGGUUGUAUCCUAGAAAUGAUAGCCAUAUUGAGGAUACUGGUUACACCUGACGAAACAUCUCCAUGAAAGUUAAGCAUACACAGGAUCUCACUUUGUUACCCAGGCUAGAGUGCAAUGGUGUGACCACAGCUCACUGAAGCCUCAACCUCCUGAGCUCACUUUUAAGCAAUCCUCUCACUUCGGCCUCCUGAGUAGCUGGGCCUACAGGCAUGUACCAACACUCCCAGCAAGUUUUUCUUAUUUUUGUGAAGACAGAGUCUUGCAGUAUUGCCCAAGCUGGACUUGAACUCCUGGCCUCAAGCAAUCCUCCCAUCUAGGCCUCCCAAAGUGCUAGGAUUACAGGCAUGAGCCACUGUGCCAAGCAACACUUGCAGUUUUUAAGUGAAAAUGAUCCUGUAAAUAUAUAUAUGAAUAAAAUCUAGAAAGCUAUA
Homo sapiens (human) is the source of this 690-nucleotide long non-coding RNA. RefSeq annotates it as ZNF451 regulatory antisense RNA 1. The record is from RefSeq and is marked validated. The transcript is spliced from 4 exons. Lineage: Eukaryota; Metazoa; Chordata; Mammalia; Primates; Hominidae.